Molecule: non-coding RNA, 117 nt
Filed under: Nomascus leucogenys (northern white-cheeked gibbon)
Lineage: Eukaryota; Metazoa; Chordata; Mammalia; Primates; Hylobatidae
Source: Rfam by way of RNAcentral
GCUGGGCGUGGUGGCUCAUGCCUGUAAUCCCAGCACUGUGGGAGGCUGAGGUGGGUGGAUCACCUGAGGUCAGGAGUUCAAGACCAGCCUGGCCAACAUGGCGAAACCCCAUCUCUA